CAGUCGAGCGAGCGGAACUAACAGAUUUACUUCGGUAAUGACGUUAGGAAAGCGAGCGGCGGAUGGGUGAGUAACACGUGGGGAACCUGCCCCAUAGUCUGGGAUACCACUUGGAAACAGGUGCUAAUACCGGAUAAGAAAGCAGAUCGCAUGAUCAGCUUUUAAAAGGCGGCGUAAGCUGUCGCUAUGGGAUGGCCCCGCGGUGCAUUAGCUAGUUGGUAAGGUAAAGGCUUACCAAGGCGAUGAUGCAUAGCCGAGUUGAGAGACUGAUCGGCCACAUUGGGACUGAGACACGGCCCAAACUCCUACGGGAGGCAGCAGUAGGGAAUCUUCCACAAUGGACGCAAGUCUGAUGGAGCAACGCCGCGUGAGUGAAGAAGGUUUUCGGAUCGUAAAGCUCUGUUGUUGGUGAAGAAGGAUAGAGGUAGUAACUGGCCUUUAUUUGACGGUAAUCAACCAGAAAGUCACGGCUAACUACGUGCCAGCAGCCGCGGUAAUACGUAGGUGGCAAGCGUUGUCCGGAUUUAUUGGGCGUAAAGCGAGCGCAGGCGGAAGAAUAAGUCUGAUGUGAAAGCCCUCGGCUUAACCGAGGAACUGCAUCGGAAACUGUUUUUCUUGAGUGCAGAAGAGGAGAGUGGAACUCCAUGUGUAGCGGUGGAAUGCGUAGAUAUAUGGAAGAACACCAGUGGCGAAGGCGGCUCUCUGGUCUGCAACUGACGCUGAGGCUCGAAAGCAUGGGUAGUGAACAGGAUUAGAUACCCUGGUAGUCCAUGCCGUAAACGAUGAGUGCUAAGUGUUGGGAGGUUUCCGCCUCUCAGUGCUGCAGCUAACGCAUUAAGCACUCCGCCUGGGGAG
This 855-nucleotide ribosomal RNA is filed under the name uncultured bacterium. RNAcentral describes it as "bacterial SSU rRNA". It matches the Rfam family "Bacterial small subunit ribosomal RNA", at positions 59 to 880 of the family's 1533-position model. The record is from RNAcentral.